Molecule: ribosomal RNA, 673 nt
Filed under: uncultured prokaryote
Description: bacterial SSU rRNA
Rfam family: Bacterial small subunit ribosomal RNA
Source: RNAcentral
GAUGAACGCUGACAGAAUGCUUAACACAUGCAAGUCGAUUCGAUUUACCUUCGGGUAUUGAGGAUGGCGGACGGGUGAGUAACGCGUAAGGAACUUGCCUCUUGGUCUGGGACAACUGUUGGAAACGACAGCUAAUACCGGAUAUUAUGAGAUUCUCGCAUGGGAAACUUAUGAAAGCUAUAUGCGCCAAGAGAGAGCCUUGCGUUCCAUUAGCUAGUUGGUGGGGUAACGGCCCACCAAGGCGACGAUGGAUAGCCGGCCUGAGAGGGUGAACGGCCACAAGGGGACUGAGACACGGCCCUUACUCCUACGGGAGGCAGCAGUGGGGAAUAUUGGACAAUGGGCCACAAGCCUGAUCCAGCAAUUCUGUGUGCACGAUGAAGGUCUUCGGAUUGUAAAGUGCUUUCAGUUGGGAAGAAGAAAGUGACGGUACCAACAGAAGAAGCGACGGCUAAAUACGUGCCAGCAGCCGCGGUAAUACGUAUGUCGCAAGCGUUAUCCGGAUUUAUUGNGCGUAAAGCGCGUCUAGGCGGAAAAAUAAGUCUGAUGUUAAAAUGCGGGGCUCAACUCCGUAUUGCGUUGGAAACUGUUUUUCUAGAGUACUGGAGAGGUGGGCGGAACUACAAGUGUAGAGGUGAAAUUCGUAGAUAUUUGUAGNAAUGCCGAUGGAGAA